Molecule: long non-coding RNA, 602 nt
Filed under: Olea europaea subsp. europaea
Lineage: Eukaryota; Viridiplantae; Streptophyta; Magnoliopsida; Lamiales; Oleaceae
Source: RNAcentral
CCAAACUCCUCGUCUGACUUAAGCAUUGGAGAGGCGAUGAGAACACACCUCGUUACUUUUGUUUCAGUAUCAAAAGAUCAUUCGUGUACCCCUGGCUCGAAAUUCAAGCUUUCAAUUUGAGGUCUAUUAGGUACAAUUUUUUGUAACAUCACCAACCAUAAUAUAAUCAAAACAUUUUUACUGUUAGCACAUAUUCGUAAGUCACCAGAAAGCAAACGGGAAAAUCAUGGGACAAAAAAAAAUAGAAAUAUUUGAUCAAGUGGAAAGGUGGUCGAUGACACUAUACUUGAUAGAGAAAUAGCCGAGGAGGACAGGUCUGCAAGGUUGCAACAAAACAGAGCCCGAGAAAGAGAAUUUAUGGAUGUUGGCUAAAAAAUAUGGUCUCAUGAAAAAUGUCCCAAAUAGCAUAGGAAAUGCCAGAGGAGAGAUCUGUGGGCAACUCAUGACGGCACAAUAUCGACAGUCAAAUUGGAUGUGAAUGGGUGGGAAUUGAGAAAGAAAGAAAAGGGAGUACAGACUUAGGAAAAAAACAAAUAAAGCAAAUUGUAUUGGAAAAUUCCCCAAGUACAAGGAUUCUUUCACAGAAUCCCUACAGAGCACCA